This 69-nucleotide transfer RNA is filed under the name Culicoides cylindratus. RNAcentral's name for it is "tRNA-Trp". Lineage: Eukaryota; Metazoa; Arthropoda; Insecta; Diptera; Ceratopogonidae. The record is from RNAcentral.
AAAGCUUUAGGUUAAUGAAACUUUUAACCUUCAAAGUUAACAAUAAAAAAAAUAUAUUUUUAAGCUUUA